This is a long non-coding RNA of Pundamilia nyererei, 1248 nucleotides long. RefSeq lists it as uncharacterized. NCBI's taxonomy places the organism in Eukaryota, Metazoa, Chordata, Actinopteri, Cichliformes, Cichlidae. The record is from RefSeq and is a predicted model, not a curated record. The transcript is spliced from 2 exons.
GACACAGGAAGAUGAAACACUCAGAGAACUAAAAAUACUACUUCAAAUAUGACAGCCUGAAACUUAAUCAAAGCCUCCCUGGGACCAUGACACUCCUCUGUGAUACAGUCACACAUAGUCAAACAGGUGGGAAUGAAUGAUGAGGAUUUAUAAGGAUGAGUGAAGCUGGAACUUAAUUCUAGAUGACAUGACCAGCUGUGGAUGCUUUGGCUAAAAACAUGCAGGAGCAGGAGCCAAAGGUCUCCUCCUGAGCAUCAAACAGACAGAUGACAGGACAAAAUCCAACUUUCUGCUUCCUGAAGAUGACCUCUUCACUUUUCACGUAGAACAUUUGUUACUCCAGUGCUCAGCCCGUUUGUCAACUGUUGCAAGUCCUUCGUGUCACCGCACAUACGCACAAAAUGUUCCUCCCUAUGCAGCGUUACAGUAUUUCAUUUAGUCCACAUAGUUUGGACUGCUCAUGAUCCAGCAGGUUCCUGGUUAGGUUUUAAACCAAUACUUGCUGAUUUUUACCUGUGAGUCUUUGAAUUAACUAGAAAACAUUACUGCUCCUUUUUAAAAGCCUCCCUUGGUUUGGUUCCUGGCAAACUCUUUGUGAGCCCAGCCGGGGUUUGAGAUCUACAGCACACAUCCAGUUAGUAUAAAUGAGGCCUGGCAGUCACUGAUCAGCUACCCGUCUGUGUCAGUCCAAAAUAAAAACAACAAAAAAUAUUAACCAAGGGGGAAACUGUCAGAAUUGAUCGUUUAAGAUGGUCAUUUAUGCUUAGAAAUGUAUAAUCAUUUGUAUGCUGAUAAAAAUCAUAUCCUUAUUAGGUCUGAUAAGACUCUGUGUGCACUUGUGUACCAUGAGAUGAGAAGAAGCAACCUUGAUGUUAUAAUUUCCAUUAUAGCUGCAGGAACUAGACUGUGCUGUUCUUAAAAGUGCUUUAAAUGUGUGUUUGAGACACGACCUGUUGCAACUUCCUGUUUUUAUAGUUUAGCAAGACGCUUACUUCUGCUUGUCUGCAUACAGUGUAAGUUCAUUGAAAGGUUGUGUGUCUAUGUAUAGUAUGGCUGGAAACACACACACACAGAAUCCAGACACUGAUGUUGUUCAGAGAUGCCUGCUUAUGGAUGUCACGUGUAUUUGUAAUUGCAUAUUCAUGAACGAUUGCUUGCUGACAAUAAAAAGAACUGUAGCGAAGGACUCAGUCGAAGUUGGUUGAGUUCAGGUGAAGGAAUCUUUUCCUCAACUUUGACUGACUUGCG